CCAUAGCUAGACGUGGUACGGCCACGUGCGAUGAUGGUAGCCGCCUGAGAGGGUGACGGCACAUUGGAACUGAGACACGGUCCAGACUCCUACGGRRGCAGCAGCUAGAAUYUUCGCAAUGGGCGAAAGCCUGACGGAGSSGACGCCGCGKGAACGAAGAAGGCCGKGAGGUKGUAAAGUUCUUUUCGGGAGGGGGAACGAGGCUGCCAGGCAAUGGGCGGCCGAUGACGUGAAUCCCGGAAUAAGCCCCGGCUAACUACGUGCCAGCAGCCGCGGUAACACGUAGGGGGCGAGCGUUGUUCGGAAUCAUUGGGCGUAAAGGGCGUGCAGGCGGCCGCCAAAGUCCGGCGUGAAAGACCCAGGCUCAACCUGGGGGGUGCGCCGGAUACUGGGCGGCUUGAGUACAGGAGGGGACGGCGGAAUUCCAGGUGUAGGGRWGAAAUCWGWAGAUAUCUGGAGGAACACCGAUGGCGAAGGCAGCCGUCUGGCCAUGUACUGACGCUGAGGCGCGAAGGUGCGGGGAGCAAACAGGUUUAGAUACCCUGGUAGUCCGCACAGUAAACGAUGUGCACCAGGCGGCGGGGGCAACCUCGCUGCCGCAGUCAACGCAUUAAGUGCACCGCCUGGGGAGUAUGCCCGCAAGGGUGAAACUCAAAGGAAUUGACGG
Molecule: ribosomal RNA, 667 nt
Filed under: uncultured Spirochaetota bacterium
Lineage: Bacteria; Pseudomonadati; Spirochaetota
Description: bacterial SSU rRNA
Rfam family: Bacterial small subunit ribosomal RNA
Source: RNAcentral